CGGACGUGAGCAAUCUGCCUUUAAGGGGGAGGUAACAGUCGGAAACGGCGUGCUAAUACCGCAUAAAGACAUCAAAUUACGUCAUGUUUUUGUUAUGCCAAAGGAGCAAUCCGCUUUUAGAUGAGCUCGCGUCUGAUUAGCUGGUUGGCGGGGUAACGGCCCACCAAGGCGACGAUCAGUAGCCGGACUGAGAGGUUGAACGGCCACAUUGGGACUGAGACACGGCCCAG
Molecule: ribosomal RNA, 230 nt
Filed under: uncultured bacterium
Lineage: Bacteria
Description: partial 16S ribosomal RNA
Rfam family: Bacterial small subunit ribosomal RNA
Source: RNAcentral